Molecule: ribosomal RNA, 405 nt
Filed under: uncultured bacterium
Lineage: Bacteria
Description: bacterial SSU rRNA
Rfam family: Bacterial small subunit ribosomal RNA
Source: RNAcentral
GUGGGGAAUAUUGGACAAUGGGCGCAAGCCUGAUCCAGCCAUGCCGCGUGAGUGAUGAAGGCCCUAGGGUUGUAAAGCUCUUUCGCCAGGGACGAUAAUGACGGUACCUGGAUAAGAAGCCCCGGCUAACUUCGUGCCAGCAGCCGCGGUAAUACGAAGGGGGCUAGCGUUGUUCGGAUUUACUGGGCGUAAAGCGCACGUAGGCGGAUCUUUAAGUCAGAGGUGAAAUCCCAAGGCUCAACCUUGGAACUGCCUUUGAUACUGGGGAUCUCGAGUCCGGGAGAGGUGAGUGGAACUGCGAGUGUAGAGGUGAAAUUCGUAGAUAUUCGCAAGAACACCAGUGGCGAAGGCGGCUCACUGGCCCGGAACUGACGCUGAGGUGCGAAAGCGUGGGGAGCAAACAGG